RNAcentral lists this long non-coding RNA (638 nucleotides) under Vulpes vulpes (red fox). Its description in RNAcentral is "lncRNA (ENSVVUG00000014778.1)". Lineage: Eukaryota; Metazoa; Chordata; Mammalia; Carnivora; Canidae. The record is from RNAcentral.
UCACAGAGAGAAAGAAGUAAAGGUGUAACAAGUGGGUUUUUUUUUUAUAAUUUUAUUUAUUCAUGAGAGACACACAGAGAGAGAGAGAGAGAGAGGCAGAGACACAGGCAGAGGGAGAAGCAGGGUCCAUGCAGGGAGCCCCACGUGGGACUCCAUCCCGGGUCUCCAGGAUCACGCUCUUGGCUAAAGGGGGCACUAAACCGCUGAGCCACCCGGGCUGCCCUAACAAGUUGGUUUGAGGAGAGCUGCUUCUUUCCACAGACAAGCAUAGAAACUUGGCAAAUAGAGGGAAGCUCAGUCUGCGUUGCCAUGUCAACCGAAAGCAGAGCUGACUUUUCAGCAUCACACACUAAUCGUUCCGGUUUAUGGACUGGCAGGGCCCUAGAAGACCAUUUUCACCCACUGGAAAGUCUCCUUGGGUAUGGUACUCAUCACAAUCAACAGCCGGCAGGGCUGGUACGCGGAGCAAACUCCAUUCUGCUCAGAAUGAAAGAAUCCAGCACCCUGAAACAGAACAUCCUUUUCAGAGCCAGAUGCUCAAACAUAAAGGCAAAGAACAAAGGCUGUGAAGGAGGAGGAGUGCUUGCUUGCUAGGAUCUCUAAAUAAAACCAGGCCUGAAGAGAAAAGGGCUUGUGAU